AGACCGGGCCAGGCGAUCGCUCUUGUCCGCCGCCGCAAGGCUUUGGCGCGACGAGAGAGGAAAGUCCGAACACGGGCCGCCUCUCGGGGCGGCAGGAAGGUAGCGGGUAACGCCCGCACGCCGCAAGGCGAGAGGUGACCACAGAGACGCCAAAGCCGAAAGGCAGAGGGUUCCUUCGGGAAUAGUUCCGUCGAAAGGCGGAAGUGCAACGAACAAAUCCUUACCCCCGUGCAAGGCCGUAUCGUCGGCGCGAAGCGUCGGCGGGGUGCCGCUCGAGCUCACAAGCAAUUAUGAGCCAAGAUAAAUGAUCGUCCGCGACAGAAUUCGGCUUAUCGGCCCGGUCUAAAA
This 348-nucleotide RNase P RNA is filed under the name Candidatus Kaiserbacteria bacterium. Its description in RNAcentral is "RNase P RNA component class A". It matches the Rfam family "Bacterial RNase P class A". From Rfam's summary of the family: Ribonuclease P (RNase P) is a ubiquitous endoribonuclease, found in archaea, bacteria and eukarya as well as chloroplasts and mitochondria. Its best characterised activity is the generation of mature 5'-ends of tRNAs by cleaving the 5'-leader elements of precursor-tRNAs. The record is from RNAcentral. Lineage: Bacteria; Candidatus Kaiseribacteriota.